This 466-nucleotide ribosomal RNA is filed under the name Shigella sonnei. RNAcentral describes it as "bacterial SSU rRNA". It matches the Rfam family "Bacterial small subunit ribosomal RNA", at positions 1 to 463 of the family's 1533-position model. Lineage: Bacteria; Pseudomonadati; Pseudomonadota; Gammaproteobacteria; Enterobacterales; Enterobacteriaceae. The record is from RNAcentral.
AAAUUGAAGAGUUUGAUCAUGGCUCAGAUUGAACGCUGGCGGCAGGCCUAACACAUGCAAGUCGAACGGUAACAGGAAGCAGCUUGCUGCUUCGCUGACGAGUGGCGGACGGGUGAGUAAUGUCUGGGAAACUGCCUGAUGGAGGGGGAUAACUACUGGAAACGGUAGCUAAUACCGCAUAACGUCGCAAGACCAAAGAGGGGGACCUUCGGGCCUCUUGCCAUCGGAUGUGCCCAGAUGGGAUUAGCUUGUUGGUGGGGUAACGGCUCACCAAGGCGACGAUCCCUAGCUGGUCUGAGAGGAUGACCAGCCACACUGGAACUGAGACACGGUCCAGACUCCUACGGGAGGCAGCAGUGGGGAAUAUUGCACAAUGGGCGCAAGCCUGAUGCAGCCAUGCCGCGUGUAUGAAGAAGGCCUUCGGGUUGUAAAGUACUUUCAGCGGGGAGGAAGGGAGUAAAGUUAA